AUCGAACCCGGAGAUAGCUGGUUCUCCUCGAAAUAGCUUUAGGGCUAGCCUCAUGCAAGUCUUACGGAGGUAGAGCACUGAAUUCCUAAGGGGGCGUCAAAGCUUACCAAGGGAUAUCAAACUCCGAAUGCCGUGUAGAUGGUGCAUGGGAGUCAGACUAUCCGAGAUAAGUUGGGUAGUCAAAAGGGAAAGAGCCCAGACCUACAGCUAAGGUCCCAAAAUGUGUGUUAAGUGGAAAAGGAUGUGGGAUUUCGAAGACAACUAGGAUGUUGGCUUAGAAGCAGCCAUCCAUUAAAAGAGUGCGUAAUAGCUCACUAGUCGAGAGGUCCUGCGCCGAAAAUGUCCGGGGCUGAAACACACUACCGAAGCUUGGGAAUUGACGAAUGUUAAUUGGUAGAGGAGCAUUCUUAACGGGGCGAAGCUGUACCGGAAGGAGCAGUGGACUGUUAAGAAGAGAGAAUGCCGGAAUGAGUAGCGAGAGGAAGGUGGGAAUCCUUCCGGCCGAAUAUCUAAGGUUUCCAGAGUAAAGCUGAUCUGCUCUGGGUAAGUCGGGGCCUAAGGCGAGGUCGAAAGACGUAGUCGAUGGAUAACAGGUUGAAAUUCCUGUACUAUCCUGUAACAGAACUGUGGGGACACAGGCAGAGAGCGUGAGCCGGGAAUGGAAAGACCGGUACAAGCGAGGUAGGAGUGCAUCAGGCAAAUCCGGUGCACAAUCUGAAGACGUGAUGUGGGGCGUAAAGCCGGAAGUAUGUGAGCUGGCUGCCAAGAAAAGCCGCUAUUGUUUAUGAUAUACCCGUACCGUAAACCGACACAGGUGGAUGAGGAGAGAAUCCUAAGGCCGACGGGAGAAGCAUUGUUAAGGAACUCGGCAAAAUGACUCCGUAACUUCGGGAGAAGGAGUGCCAUGUAAAAGUGGCCGCAGAGAAUUGGCCCAAGCAACUGUUUAGCAAAAACACAGGUCUAUGCAAAACCGAAAGGUGAGGUAUAUGGGCUGACGCCUGCCCGGUGCUGGAAGGUUAAGGGGAGAGGUUAGCGCAAGCGAAGCUUUGAACUUAAGCCCCAGUAAACGGCGGCCGUAACUAUAACGGUCCUAAGGUAGCGAAAUUCCUUGUCGGGUAAGUUCCGACCCGCACGAAAGGCGUAAUGAUUUGGGCACUGUCUCAACAAUGCACCCGGUGAAAUUGAAAUACCAGUGAAGAUGCUGGUUACCUGCGCCAGGACGGAAAGACCCCAUGGAGCUUUACUCCAGUUUGAUACUGGGAUUCGGCAUGGUAUGUACAGGAUAGGUGGGAGACUGAGAAGGUAUGACGUCAGUUGUACCGGAGUCGCUGUUGGGAUACCACCCUUACCAUGUUGGAUUUCUAACCUGUGGCCGUAAGCCGGUCAGGGGACAAUGUCAGGCGGGGAGUUUGACUGGGGCGGUCGCCUCCGAAAGGGUAUCGGAGGCGCUCAAAGGU
Molecule: ribosomal RNA, 1457 nt
Filed under: human gut metagenome
Description: bacterial LSU rRNA
Rfam family: Bacterial large subunit ribosomal RNA
Source: RNAcentral